UAGGGAAUCUUCGGCAAUGGGGGCAACCCUGACCGAGCAACGCCGCGUGAGUGAAGAAGGUCUUCGGAUCGUAAAGCUCUGUUGUAAGAGAAGAACGUGUGUGAGAGUGGAAAGUUCACACAGUGACGGUAACUUACCAGAAAGGGACGGCUAACUACGUGCCAGCAGCCCCGGUAAUCCGUAGGUCCCGAGCGUGGUCCGGAUUUAUUGGGCGUAAAGCGAGCGCAGGCGGUUUAAUAAGUCUGAAGUUAAAGGCAGGGGCUUAACCAUGGAGCGCUUUGGAAACUGUUAAACUUGAGUGCAGAAGGGGAGAGUGGAAGUCCAUGUGUAGCGGUGAAAUGCGUAGAUAUAUGGAGGAACACGGGUGGCGAAAGCGGCUCUCUGGUCUGUAACUGACGCUGAGGCUCGAAAGCGUGGGGAGCAAACAGG
This 429-nucleotide ribosomal RNA is filed under the name bacterium. RNAcentral describes it as "partial 16S ribosomal RNA". It matches the Rfam family "Bacterial small subunit ribosomal RNA", at positions 355 to 776 of the family's 1533-position model. The record is from RNAcentral.